This 308-nucleotide long non-coding RNA is filed under the name Anas platyrhynchos platyrhynchos (common mallard). RNAcentral describes it as "lncRNA (ENSAPLG00000026796.1)". Lineage: Eukaryota; Metazoa; Chordata; Aves; Anseriformes; Anatidae. The record is from RNAcentral.
AUGGGUUGCAGCUGUGUUUCUUGUCUGUUGAAGUUUGUUGCUUGGUCAGGACUGAAAGGCAGCUUCCAUCUUAACCUUGACAAGGAGCCUGGUGAAGCCAGGACACAAGUUCUUUUUCGCUCCCUUCUGGCUUGAUCUCCCACAGCUUGUCUACCACCAUAGAGUGAAAAACUAAAAAAGUGCUGAAGGUACAUCUACUUCUACAACACCCUAUGAGAAAUUCCAGAAGACAACUAUAGACUAGACUGUUUAAAAAACAAAACAAAAAACACACAAAAUAAAACAACAAAAUAAAGUUGAGAGAAGCA